GCCAGGCACGGUUGCACAGGCCUGGAAUCUCAGCUACUUGAGAGGCUGAGGUGGGAGGAUUUCCUGAGCCCCGGAGGUUAAGGCUACAGUGGGCUGAGAUCAUGCCACUGUAUUCCAGCCUGGGUGACAGAGCAAGAUUCUGUCUCAAAAUUUUUUGUUUUUUAAAAUUUUUAUUGAGAAGGAUCUCGCUCUGUUGUCCAGGCUGGAAUACAGUGGCAUGAUCUCAGCCCACUGUAGCCUUAACCUCCGGGGCUCAGGCAAUCCUCCCACCUCAG
Nomascus leucogenys (northern white-cheeked gibbon) is the source of this 275-nucleotide non-coding RNA. NCBI's taxonomy places the organism in Eukaryota, Metazoa, Chordata, Mammalia, Primates, Hylobatidae. The record is from Rfam.